CUAUGCGCCUUGCCAGCCCGCUCAGGUGUGCCAGCAGCCGCGGUAAUACGGAGGAUGCGAGCGUUAUCCGGAUUUAUUGGGUUUAAAGGGUGCGUAGGCGGAUUUUUAAGUCAGCGGUAAAAUGUCCGGGCUCAACCCGGGCCGGCCGUUGAAACUGGGGAUCUUGAGUGGGCGAGAAGUAUGCGGAAUGCGUGGUGUAGCGGUGAAAUGCAUAGAUAUCACGCAGAACCCCGAUUGCGAAGGCAGCAUACCGGCGCCCGACUGACGCUGAGGCACGAAAGUGCGGGUAUCGAACAGG
This 298-nucleotide ribosomal RNA is filed under the name uncultured bacterium. Its description in RNAcentral is "partial 16S ribosomal RNA". It matches the Rfam family "Bacterial small subunit ribosomal RNA", at positions 475 to 776 of the family's 1533-position model. The record is from RNAcentral.